Molecule: long non-coding RNA, 345 nt
Filed under: Dromaius novaehollandiae (emu)
Lineage: Eukaryota; Metazoa; Chordata; Aves; Casuariiformes; Dromaiidae
Description: lncRNA (ENSDNVG00000001075.1)
Source: RNAcentral
CCACUGAUUAAUCUUUCUCCCUUUUUAUAUUUUGUACAGGAAAAGAGCCUCACCCGCUGACUUUAAGGACCUGACCAUCCUCUCAGAUAUACAGAAGAAAUAGAAGUACCUCACAUGGAUUAUCUGUCAAGGGUGCAGAGCUUCCUGUAGAGCCCAGAAGAGCUUUGAAUAGAGAAACAAAGGAAAAUGGUGGGUGCAGAGAAUGUGUACGCUGCAGAAGACAGGAUGUAAAUUACAGCCAAGACAGCAUCCUGGUCAUAAUUUGAAGGCAAAUGUUAGACCUUUGCUCAAGGCAGAAUGAUCAUGGUGAGUUUGGACUGCUGAAGCACAUUUCUGAUACUCUAC